Aquila chrysaetos chrysaetos is the source of this 900-nucleotide long non-coding RNA. RefSeq lists it as uncharacterized. Lineage: Eukaryota; Metazoa; Chordata; Aves; Accipitriformes; Accipitridae. The transcript has 3 exons. The record is from RefSeq and is a predicted model, not a curated record.
UGCCGGUGGAGGGUCAGCCCCAGAAACUAUUGGCCUGGACUUGCGGGGUCUUUUCUGGAGACCAGACUUUUCUUCCCAUAAGCCCGUCAUCAAAACAGGUGAUUUGCAUACCUCCUGCUUGGAACGGCCAGAUUAUAACAGCAGGGAGAAAGUUGUCUUGCUCUGCCUGAAGUGCUGGUAGUCUGGCCUGUAAGAAAUGAAUCUUCAUUGAAUCCUCAUGAAGAUGAUAUUGCUGCCCUGUAUAGCCAUGAAGUUACAACCGCCAUUGGACCUACUCACUAAUUUUAAUGUAAAAUUAUUAAUACUUGGGAACAAAAUCCAUCAUACUGUGUAAUCCAUCAUAGUGUGUCCAGAUUCAUUAGGGUAAGGUGUGUCAUCAGAAGGAGAAGCUUCUUUGCUGGUAUCCCAGCUUAAUUUUUCUAUGGGUUAAGAUGCAGUUUUUAGAAUGCAGUGUUACUGAAUAAUUCUGAAGUUUAGAAAAAAAAAAAUUAGUUGGGGGUAGCUGCUCUGUCUACCUCAACUGUCUCAUUAUACUCACAUGUAUCUUAGAAUUUCUCUAAAAUACUAAACAAAACUAUGUAUUUGAUAUAUAAUUUCUUUUGAGGCUGAAACCAUCUCACUACUGUACCUUUGCAGAGUGCCUGGAAAAAUGGGCCUGGGGCUUCUAAAUGCCCCUGUAACACAAAUAAUACAGAGCCGUUACAAUAUGCGCUUUAAGAGCUGGCAGAACCACAAAAACAGACCCACUAGGUCACACAAAGCCUGACAAUCUGUUUAUAAUUUAGCCACUUAAACCUAAGCAUAGCACAAUUUUAUCUUUGUGAGUGGUCUACAAGAAUAUUUUGCCUUGAUACAUGUCUAUUUUGGGGCAAAACAUAGUUUAUAGAUAGUGUAAUUGUG